AAGCCAUUCUCUGGGGAAAGAACAUUCCAGGCAGAGGGAACAGCACAUGCCAAGGCCCUGAGCAGAAAAUACUUCACAGAACUGAGACUGUGAUUACGUGUCCAACCAGAGACAGGCAGUGCUGCGUCAAUUAAGAUCGCCAGCGGAUUAUGGAGGGCAGACGUAAUGUGCCUUGGCGGAGCAGUGGUGAAUUAGAGUGAUGGUAGUGAGCGGAGAAAGAGGAGGGGAGUCUGCUUAAGGAAGUUACUUGUCGUGAGGAAAGGUGACAGCCUCUCCACUGGAGUGCCCAAUGACUGGAAGCUCAGCCCUGAGCUAACUGCUGCCAAUCCUUCUCUUUUUGCUGAAGAAGACUGGCCCUGAGCUAACAUCCAUGCCCAUCUUCCUCUACUUUAUAUGUGGAACCCCUGCCACAGCUUGACUUGAUGAGCGGUGCCAUGUCCUCACCCGGGAUCCCAACCGGCAGAGCCCGGGCCGCCAAAGUGGAACGUGCGCACUAACCGCUGCGCCACCGGGCCAGCCCGCACUGCUUCCUUUUGAAUCACUUGUGAUCUUUGGAAU
Molecule: long non-coding RNA, 558 nt
Filed under: Equus asinus (donkey)
Lineage: Eukaryota; Metazoa; Chordata; Mammalia; Perissodactyla; Equidae
Description: lncRNA (ENSEASG00005034780.1)
Source: RNAcentral